This 242-nucleotide ribosomal RNA is filed under the name uncultured Bacteroidota bacterium. Its description in RNAcentral is "uncultured Bacteroidetes bacterium partial 16S ribosomal RNA". It matches the Rfam family "Bacterial small subunit ribosomal RNA", at positions 796 to 1041 of the family's 1533-position model. The record is from RNAcentral. Lineage: Bacteria; Pseudomonadati; Bacteroidota.
CACGCUGUAAACAAUGAUCACUAGCUAUCGGCGAUAUACAGUCGGUGGCACAGCGAAAGCGUUAAGUGAUCCACCUGGGGAGUACGCCGGCAACGGUGAAACUCAAAGGAAUUGACGGGGGCCCGCACAAGCGGAGGAACAUGUGGUUUAAUUCGAUGAUACGCGAGGAACCUUACCCGGGCUUGAAAUGCAGAGGAAUAACGGUGAAAGUCGUUAGCCAGCAAUGGUCUCUGUGUAGGUGC